AGCAGUAGCAUCACAUAUGCUUGGGGAGACUGAGUAGAACAUCUCCUGUGACGUGCCUCACCCCAUCUUUCCACCCAAAAUUGAAGACAAUCUGAUAUGCUGAUGAUGGCUACACGUAGAGUGCCUGGAUUCAUCUGCAUUGAAACUCCUUGAGAAUUUUGAUAGGUUGAGCCAAAACAGAAUAAUGAAAUGAACCCUUCUAGGCAGGAAGGCAGAAACAGACAUAAAAGAUGAUUUCUCUGUGUUAUCUGGCCUUUAUGGAAAGAACCAUGAUGAGCUUCCAGAAAAUGCAUUAUUGAUGUGAUGUAAUAAGGCAGGGGUUUUAACAUCUUCAUCCUGGAAAAUUGGAGUCCUUCCCAUGGAAUGUGUGUGUUGAGCUUAGCAGAGACAGCCCUUUCCACUCUGGAGGUAAGACUGGGAAAAUUUGAGUCCAGAGCCCUCUGCUGCCUCUGGGCCCACUGCCUGUCCAAACACACCUGCAGGAGGAAAGAAGGACCCUGUUACAAACAAGAGAAGAAGAGGAGAUCAAAGCAGCUGCAUCAUCUCAUUAACCUUCACCCCCAGAGAAGAUGGCAAGGAAAACUUAGAAACAAACAAAAUCAAGCCACUCUUCCUGCCUUCAGUGGAGCUUCAAACCAGAGGAUGUUACCUGGAACACACUGGAGAGUCAUAACCUUGGAGCACUGGCAGCAAUUGGUGUCAACAAAGAUAAUGAAAAAUGAACUGGGAUUCCAACAUCUGUGAACCAGGUCUCCCCUGGAGCUGACAUGGAAGUUGGAGACAGGUAGACAACGCCUGGUCUUUUCAAGGUGCUGAGCUAAAAAGUCUUCAUAGACAUCAGUAUCAUUGCAUGUAUUUUCUUCUGGAAACA
Molecule: long non-coding RNA, 871 nt
Filed under: Bos indicus x Bos taurus (hybrid cattle)
Lineage: Eukaryota; Metazoa; Chordata; Mammalia; Artiodactyla; Bovidae
Description: lncRNA (ENSBIXG00000003210.1)
Source: RNAcentral